UAGGGAAAUCUUCCACAAAUGGACGCAAGUCUGAUGGAGCAACGCCGCGUGAGUGAAGAAGGUCUUCGGAUCGUAAAACUCUGUUGUUAGAGAAGAACAUGCAGGAGAGUAACUGUUCUUGUAUUGACGGUAUCUAACCAGAAAGCCACGGCUAACUACGUGCCAG
RNAcentral lists this ribosomal RNA (166 nucleotides) under uncultured bacterium. Its description in RNAcentral is "partial 16S rRNA". It matches the Rfam family "Bacterial small subunit ribosomal RNA", at positions 354 to 511 of the family's 1533-position model. The record is from RNAcentral.